GGAUGAACGCUGGCGGCGUGCUUAACACAUGCAAGUCGAACGGAAAGGCCCMWGCUUGCWKGGGUACUCGAGUGGCGAACGGGUGAGUAACACGUGGGUGAUCUGCCCUGCACUUCGGGAUAAGCCUGGGAAACUGGGUCUAAUACCGGAUAGGACCACAUUUUGGAUGGUGUGGUGGAAAGUUUUUUCGGUGUGGGAUGAGCUCGCGGCCUAUCAGCUUGUUGGUGGGGUAAUGGCCUACCAAGGCGUCGACGGGUAGCCGGCCUGAGAGGGUGUACGGCCACAUUGGGACUGAGAUACGGCCCAGACUCCUACGGGAGGCAGCAGUGGGGAAUAUUGCACAAUGGGCGCAAGCCUGAUGCAGCGACGCCGCGUGGGGGAUGACGGCCUUCGGGUUGUAAACUCCUUUCGCUAGGGACGAAGCGCAAGUGACGGUACCUGGAGAAGAAGCACCGGCUAACUAC
Molecule: ribosomal RNA, 464 nt
Filed under: Corynebacterium sp. 'ARUP UnID 225'
Lineage: Bacteria; Bacillati; Actinomycetota; Actinomycetes; Mycobacteriales; Corynebacteriaceae
Description: bacterial SSU rRNA
Rfam family: Bacterial small subunit ribosomal RNA
Source: RNAcentral